UUUCCGUAGGUGAACCUGCGGGAGGAUCAUUAUUGGAUUUUGAAACUUCAGGCUGCUGCUGGCUCUCCUCGGAGGGCAUGUGCACGCUUGUUGUCCAUUAUUUCUCCCGCUGUGCACGAAUUGUAGACCUUUCAGUAGGCCUAUGUUGUUUUUCACAAUCUCUGAAUGUAAUAGAAUGGUUUUGAAUCUUGGGAAAUACAAUACAACUUUCAGCAACGGAUCUCUUGGCUCUC
Molecule: unclassified non-coding RNA, 233 nt
Filed under: plant metagenome
Description: partial contains small subunit ribosomal RNA, internal transcribed spacer 1, and 5.8S ribosomal RNA
Source: RNAcentral